Molecule: long non-coding RNA, 282 nt
Filed under: Ananas comosus (pineapple)
Lineage: Eukaryota; Viridiplantae; Streptophyta; Magnoliopsida; Poales; Bromeliaceae
Description: long non-coding RNA (ACOM_LNC042144)
Source: RNAcentral
CUCUCUUUCUCUCUCUCUCCUCCCCAACAACACACCCUCCCUCCCCACCAACAACACAUGCACGUGUAUACACACACAUUCUCUUUCUCUCCCCCACUCUCUCUUUUCAAUAUUUAAUUAUAAUUAAUUUUUAUUAUUAUAAUAAUAAAAAGUAUUUUUUAAUAAUAAUAAAUAGUAUUAUUACUAAAUUAUAAAAUUUAUUAUUAUUAUUAUUAUUACUAUUAAUAUUUAAUUUGACUAUAUGACUUUAUUAAACAUUCGAUAGAAAUACACACUUAAAAU